AAACUAACAAGGAUUCCCCUAGUAACUGCGAGUGAAGCGGGAAAAGCUCAAAUUUAAAAUCUGGCGGUCUUUGGCCGUCCGAGUUGUAAUCUAGAGAAGUGUUACCCGCGUCGGACCGUGUACAAGUCUCCUGGAAUGGAGCGUCAUAGAGGGUGAGAAUCCCGUCUUUGACACGGACUACCGAGGCUUUGUGGUGCGCUCUCAAAGAGUCGAGUUGUUUGGGAAUGCAGCUCAAAAUGGGUGGUAAAUUCCAUCUAAAGCUAAAUAUUGGCGAGAGACCGAUAGCGAACAAGUACCGUGAGGGAAAGAUGAAAAGAACUUUGGAAAGAGAGUUAAACAGUACGUGAAAUUGCUGAAAGGGAAACGCUUGAAGUCAGUCGCGUCGUCCGGGAAUCAGCCUUCCUUCUGGUUGGUGUACUUCCUGGUUGACGGGCCAGCAUCAGUUUUGACCGGUGGAAAAAGUUCGAGGGAAUGUGGCACCUUCGGGUGUGUUAUAGCCCUCGUUCGUAUACAUCGGUUGGGACUGAGGAACUCAGCACGCCGCAAGGCCGGGAUUCGUCCACGUUCGUGCUUAGGAUGCUGGCAUAAUGGCUUUAAUCGAC
Molecule: ribosomal RNA, 602 nt
Filed under: Coprinellus domesticus
Lineage: Eukaryota; Fungi; Basidiomycota; Agaricomycetes; Agaricales; Psathyrellaceae
Also listed under: 5 other names
Description: eukaryotic LSU rRNA
Rfam family: Eukaryotic large subunit ribosomal RNA
Source: RNAcentral